RNA transcript from Brassica rapa (field mustard), 1298 nucleotides. It is a transcript of the gene named 14-3-3-like protein GF14 phi, with no coding region annotated. The record is from RefSeq and is a predicted model, not a curated record. Lineage: Eukaryota; Viridiplantae; Streptophyta; Magnoliopsida; Brassicales; Brassicaceae.
UCUAAAACAAAACACUCUCUGGCUCUCAGAUCUGAUACCUUCCCCUUGAAGCUUUAUCUCCGAUCUACCAAUAAAGAAACAAAAAUGGCCUCUGCCAGAGAAGAGUUCGUUUACCUUGCGAAGCUUGCGGAGCAAGCAGAGCGAUAUGAAGAAAUGGUUGAAUUCAUGGAGAAAGUCACAGAAGCCGUCGACAAAGACGAACUCACCGUGGAGGAACGCAACCUCCUCUCCGUUGCUUACAAAAACGUCAUCGGCGCUCGUCGUGCCUCGUGGCGCAUCAUCUCCUCCAUCGAGCAGAAGGAAGAGAGCCGCGGCAACGAUGACCACGUCAACACGAUCCGUGACUACAGAAGCAAGAUCGAAACGGAGCUCUCCAAAAUCUGCGACGGUAUCCUUAAGCUUCUGGAUACGAGACUUAUCCCGGCUUCUGCAAACGGAGAUUCCAAGGUUUUCUACCUUAAGAUGAAGGGAGAUUACCAUAGGUACUUGGCUGAGUUUAAGACCGCUCAGGAGAGGAAAGACGCCGCCGAGCACACCCUCACCGCUUACAAAGCCGCUCAGGACAUUGCUAACUCCGAAUUGGCUCCAACCCACCCGAUCCGUCUUGGUCUGGCCUUGAACUUCUCUGUCUUUUACUAUGAGAUUCUCAACUCUCCAGACCGUGCUUGCAGUCUCGCUAAGCAGGCGUUUGAUGAAGCAAUUGCUGAGUUGGAUACUCUAGGCGAGGAGUCAUACAAGGACAGUACCUUGAUCAUGCAGCUUCUCCGUGACAACCUUACUCUCUGGACUUCCGACAUGCAGGUAACAGCUAAUAUUUAACCCUUGAAACUUGAUAAACUCUCUUUCUUUCUUUCUAGAAUUGACCACCAACAUUGUUCAUAAAUGGUCCACUUUUUGCAUUAUGAUAUUGAUGCGCUCAUCCUUCCUUGUUCAAAUAUGAUUAUGAUGUGUUUGUUUGAAUGAUACGAACCAGGACGAAAGUACUGAGGAGAUCAAAGAAGAUGCAGCACCCAAGCCUGCUGAAGAACAGAAGGAGACCUAAGUCCGUGUCCUGCUUUGUUAUCCAGUAUUCUAAAAUUAUCCAACAAUUGUGUUUUCCCGCUUUGUGGUUGUUUUCUAAUCUCUUCGUUAUGUUAUCCUCGAAGCUUCUAAGGCCGUCUAUUCUUGUCCUUUGUUUGCUCUUCCUAAUCCUGGAUGCUGCUGGAUUUUUAUCUGGUUUUAUUUUCUUAUUCAUUGCUUUUCGGCUUGUGCCUUGUUCUGAAUUCAUAUCAUCUUCGUAUUAAUGAUUUGUCAGUUCU